This 700-nucleotide ribosomal RNA is filed under the name uncultured bacterium. RNAcentral's name for it is "bacterial SSU rRNA". It matches the Rfam family "Bacterial small subunit ribosomal RNA", at positions 8 to 703 of the family's 1533-position model. The record is from RNAcentral.
AGAGUUUGAUCAUGGCUCAGAUUGAACGCUGGCGGAAUGCUUUACACAUGCAAGUCGAACGGCAGCACGGGGGCAACCCUGGUGGCGAGUGGCGAACGGGUGAGUAAUACAUCGGAACGUGCCCAGUCGUGGGGGAUAACUACGCGAAAGCGUAGCUAAUACCGCAUACGAUCUACGGAUGAAAGCGGGGGAUCGCAAGACCUCGCGCGAUUGGAGCGGCCGAUGGCAGAUUAGGUAGUUGGUGGGGUAAAGGCUCACCAAGCCUGCGAUCUGUAGCUGGUCUGAGAGGACGACCAGCCACACUGGGACUGAGACACGGCCCAGACUCCUACGGGAGGCAGCAGUGGGGAAUUUUGGACAAUGGGCGCAAGCCUGAUCCAGCCAUUCCGCGUGCAGGAUGAAGGCCCUCGGGUUGUAAACUGCUUUUGUACGGAACGAAAAGCCUUCUUCUAAUACAGGAGGGUCAUGACGGUACCGUAAGAAUAAGCACCGGCUAACUACGUGCCAGCAGCCGCGGUAAUACGUAGGGUGCAAGCGUUAAUCGGAAUUACUGGGCGUAAAGCGUGCGCAGGCGGUUAUGUAAGACAGAUGUGAAAUCCCCGGGCUCAACCUGGGAACUGCAUUUGUGACUGCAUAGCUAGAGUACGGUAGAGGGGGAUGGAACUCCGCGUGUAGCAGUGAAAUGCGUAGAUAUGCGGAG